RNAcentral lists this transfer RNA (71 nucleotides) under Glyptotermes sp. A TB-2014. RNAcentral's name for it is "tRNA-Val". Lineage: Eukaryota; Metazoa; Arthropoda; Insecta; Blattodea; Kalotermitidae. The record is from RNAcentral.
UCAGGCUUACUUGUAGUUGGGAAUUUCAUUUACAUUGAAUUUUUUUGUUGUGCGAUUCAACAGUGUCUGAA